This 85-nucleotide transfer RNA is filed under the name Callipsygma wilsonis. RNAcentral's name for it is "tRNA-Leu". It matches the Rfam family "tRNA". Rfam says of the family: Transfer RNA (tRNA) molecules are approximately 80 nucleotides in length. Their secondary structure includes four short double-helical elements and three loops (D, anti-codon, and T loops). The record is from RNAcentral. Lineage: Eukaryota; Viridiplantae; Chlorophyta; Ulvophyceae; Bryopsidales; Halimedaceae.
GGGGAUAUGGCGGAAUUGGUAGACGCUAUAGACUUAAAAUCUGUUGGUUCUUUGAACCGUGAGGGUUCAAAUCCCUCUUUCCCCA